ACACGAACCGCACGAACGUUAUUCGGAAUCACUGGGCUUAAAGGGUGCGUAGGCGGUCCGGUAAGUUGGGUGUGAAAGCCCUCGGCUCAACCGAGGAAUUGCGCCCAAAACUACCGGACUUGAGGAAGACAGAGGUGAGCGGAACUUGCGGUGGAGCGGUGAAAUGCGUUGAUAUCGCAAGGAACACCAGUGGCGAAAGCGGCUCACUGGGUCUUUUCUGACGCUGAGGCACGAAAGCUAGGGGAGCGAACGGGAUUAGAUACCCUAGUAGUCC
RNAcentral lists this ribosomal RNA (274 nucleotides) under uncultured bacterium. RNAcentral describes it as "partial 16S ribosomal RNA". It matches the Rfam family "Bacterial small subunit ribosomal RNA", at positions 523 to 796 of the family's 1533-position model. The record is from RNAcentral.